Molecule: ribosomal RNA, 451 nt
Filed under: uncultured bacterium
Lineage: Bacteria
Description: bacterial SSU rRNA
Rfam family: Bacterial small subunit ribosomal RNA
Source: RNAcentral
GACGAACGCUGGCGGCAGGCUUAACACAUGCAAGUUGAACGGGAUUUGUGUGGUGCUUGCACCAUAUAAUGAGAGUAGCGCACUGGUGAGUAACACGUGGGAACGUGCCUUUUAGUGGGGGGAUAACAUCUGGAAACGGAUGCUAAUACCGCAUACGCCCUGAGGGGGAAAGAUUUAUUGCUAAGAGGUCGGCCCGCGGUAGAUUAGGCAGUUGGUGGGGUAAAGGCCUACCAAACCUACGAUCUAUAGCUGGUCUGAGAGGACGAUCAGCCACAUUGGAACUGAGACACGGUCCAGACUCCUACGGGAGGCAGCAGUGAGGAAUAUUGGGCAAUGGAGGCAACUCUGACCCAGCCAUGCCGCGUGAGUGAGAAGGUUUUCGAAUUGUAAAGCUCUUUCGGGUGUGAAGAUGAUGACGGUAACACCAGAAGAAGCCCCGGCAAACUUCGUG